AGGCCACUGCUAUCGGAGUUCGAUUAAGCCAUGCGAGUCGAGAGGUGUAAGACCUCGGCAUACUGCUCAGUAACACGUGGACAACCUAACCUGAAGAGGGGGAUAACCCCGGGAAACUGGGGAUAAUACCCCAUAGAUUAUGGAUGCUGGAAUGCUCUGUAGUUGAAAGGUCCGCCGCUUCAGGAUGGGCCUGCGGCCGAUUAGGUUGUUGUUGGGGUAACGGCCCAACAAGCCUGUAAUCGGUACGGGUUGUGGGAGCAAGAGCCCGGAGGUGGAUUCUGAGACACGAAUCCAGGCCCUACGGGGCGCAGCAGGCGCGAAAACUUUACAAUGCGAGAAAUCGUGAUAAGGGAACUCUGAGUGCCCGUAAAAUCGGGCUGUCCAUCUGUUUAAAUAACAGGUGAAGAAAGGGCCGGGCAAGACCGGUGCCAGCCGCCGCGGUAAUACCGGCGGCUCGAGUGGUGGCCACUAUUACUGGGCUUAAAGCGUCCGUAGCUGGUCUGUUAAGUCUCUGGGGAAAUCUUCCGGCUCAACCGGAAGGCGUCUCAGGGAUACUGGCAGACUAGGGACCGGGAGAGGUGAGAGGUACUCCAGGGGUAGGAGUGAAAUCCUGUAAUCCUUGGGGGACCACCUGUGGCGAAGGCGUCUCACCAGAACGGCUCCGACAGUGAGGGACGAAAGCUGGGGGAGCAAACCGGAUUAGAUACCCGGGUAGUCCCAGCCGUAAACGAUGCGCGUUAGGUGUAUCGGUGACCACGAGUCACCGAGGUGCCGAAGAGAAAUCGUGAAACGCGCCGCCUGGGAAGUACGGUCGCAAGGCUGAAACUUAA
This 830-nucleotide ribosomal RNA is filed under the name uncultured archaeon. Its description in RNAcentral is "bacterial SSU rRNA". It matches the Rfam family "Archaeal small subunit ribosomal RNA", at positions 21 to 859 of the family's 1478-position model. The record is from RNAcentral.